GAUGAACGCUGGCGGCGUGCCUAAUACAUGCAAGUCGAGCGAACGGACGAGAAGCUUGCUUUUCUGAUGUUAGCGGCGGACGGGUGAGUAACACGUGGAUAACCUACCUAUAAGACUGGGAUAACUUCGGGAAACCGGAGCUAAUACCGGAUAAUAUUUUGAACCGCAUGGUUCAAAAGUGAAAGACGGUCUUGCUGUCACUUAUAGAUGGAUCCGCGCUGCAUUAGCUAGUUGGUAAGGUAACGGCUUACCAAGGCAACGGUGCAUAGCCGACCUGAGAGGGUGAUCGGCCACACUGGAACUGAGACACGGUCCAGACUCCUACGGGAGGCAGCAGUAGGGAAUCUUCCGCAAUGGGCGAAAGCCUGACGGAGCAACGCCGCGUGAGUGAUGAAGGUCUUCGGAUCGUAAAACUCUGUUAUUAGGGAAGAACAUAUGUGUAAGUAACUGUGCACAUCUUGACGGUACCUAAUCAGAAAGCCACGGCUAACUACGUGCCAGCAGCCGCGGUAAUACGUAGGCGGCAAGCGUUAUCCGGAAUUAUUGGGCGUAAAGCGCGCGUAGCGGUUUUUUAGUCUGAUGUGAAAGCCCACGGCUCAACCGUGGAGGGUCAUUGGAAACUGGAAAACUUGAGUGCAGAAGAGGAAAGUGGAAUUCCAUGUGUAGCGGUGAAAUGCGCAGAGAUAUGGAGGAACACCAGUGGCGAAGGCGACUUUCUGGUCUGUAACUGACGCUGAUGUGCGAAAGCGUGGGGAUCAAACAGGAUUAGAUACCCUGGUAGUCCACGCCGUAAACGAUGAGUGCUAAGUGUUAGGGGGUUUCCGCCCCUUAGUGCUGCAGCUAACGCAUUAAGCACUCCGCCUGGGGAGUACGACCGCAAGGUUGAAACUCAAAGGAAUUGACGGGGACCCGCACAAGCGGUGGAGCAUGUGGUUUAAUUCGAAGCAACGCGAAGAACCUUACCAAAUCUUGACAUCCUUUGACAACUCUAGAGAUAGAGCCUUCCCCUUCGGGGGACAAAGUGACAGGUGGUGCAUGGUUGUCGUCAGCUCGUGUCGUGAGAUGUUGGGUUAAGUCCCGCAACGAGCGCAACCCUUAAGCUUAGUUGCCAUCAUUAAGUUGGGCACUCUAAGUUGACUGCCGGUGACAAACCGGAGGAAGGUGGGGAUGACGUCAAAUCAUCAUGCCCCUUAUGAUUUGGGCUACACACGUGCUACAAUGGACAAUACAAAGGGCAGCGAAACCGCGAGGUCAAGCAAAUCCCAUAAAGUUGUUCUCAGUUCGGAUUGUAGUCUGCAACUCGACUACAUGAAGCUGGAAUCGCUAGUAAUCGUAGAUCAGCAUGCUACGGUGAAUACGUUCCCGGGUCU
Molecule: ribosomal RNA, 1370 nt
Filed under: uncultured bacterium
Lineage: Bacteria
Description: bacterial SSU rRNA
Rfam family: Bacterial small subunit ribosomal RNA
Source: RNAcentral